GGUUCCUGGACUACUGCAAGGUAAGUAUAAUGAACAUCUGAUAUGGCGUAUUCCUGAAGUUGUGUCUGAUUUUUGUCUGUUGUGGACGAUCAGCUCAAGGUCCACAGCCUUGCAGCGCUCCAAGCCUGGAUGCAGGUUUUCUUCUCUCGGUGCAGGAAUCAUAUCCUCAUGGAACAAAGAUCAGUUAUUCCUGCAAUGAUGGAUACAAAGCAGAAGGAAGAGGCUGGUGGGGAACAAGCACAUGUUUCAAUGGUUUAUGGUUUGGUAUCCCAGUCUGUAUUAUAAAUCCUCCUACCUGCCGCGAGCCUCCAAGAAUUUCCAAUGCCGCCAUAAUUAAUCAGGAUUUUCAGGACUUAUUUACUCAAGACACAGAAGUGGUGUAUCAGUGUAAGGAUGGAUAUACAACAAAGGAAGGAGCCACCAAGAAAUCUGUCUUCUGUAGAGCUGGAGUUUGGACAGACGUCCCAACAUGUGAUCCUGCCGCUUCAGCCUGUGUGUUGGAUCUGCAAGGACUGAAUAUUGGCGAAACUUCACAGAUCAGCAUAAAGGAUGGAGAGACAAAGGAGAUUGAUUGUACACUGUGGCAGGAUUACUCGAUGUUUGCUAGGUGCUCUAAUGGAAGAAUAGAAGCAACCAAGUGUUGCCACAUCACCGAAAUUAAUCGAAAUCUUUGCAGAUUUUCCAUAACGCCAUAACAUUUCCUGGCUUUGGAUUCAUCCACUGCAAGCAGAGAAUGAAGUGACAUCAGAGAUAUUUCUGACAGAAACACCUGGAAGGAAACUUUUUCUUUUUUGAGUUAAAUUCUGUUGAUUGUUGGUUGACAGUAAAUAUAAAAUGCUUGACUUUGUCUAAAAUAAAAUAUUUCGACAGGA
Molecule: long non-coding RNA, 872 nt
Organism: Xiphophorus hellerii (green swordtail)
Lineage: Eukaryota; Metazoa; Chordata; Actinopteri; Cyprinodontiformes; Poeciliidae
Exons: 5
Source: RefSeq, a predicted model, not a curated record